UUGACAUACUAAGAACUUCCAGAGAUGGAUUGGUGCCGUUCGGGAACUUAGAUACAGGUGCUGCAUGGCUGUCGUCAGCUCGUGUCGUGAGAUGUUGGGUUAAGUCCCGCAACGAGCGCAACCCUUUUCCUUAUUUGCCAGCGGGUUAAGCCGGGAACUUUAAGGAUACUGCCAGUGACAAACUGGAGGAAGGCGGGGACGACGUCAAGUCAUCAUGGCCCUUACGGCCAGGGCUACACACGUGCUACAAUGGUCGGUACAAAGGGUUGCUACCUCGCGAGAGGAUGCUAAUCUCAAAAAGCCGAUCGUAGUCCGGAUCGCAGUCUGCAACUCGACUGCGUGAAGUCGGAAUCGCUAGUAAUCGCGGAUCAGAAUGCCGCGGUGAAUACGUUCCCGGGCCUUGUACACACCGCCCGUCACACCAUGGGAGUUUGUUGCACCAGAAGUAGGUAGUCUAACCGCAAGGAGGACGCUUACCACGGUGUGGCCGAUGACUGGGGUGAAGUCGUAACAAGGUAAGCGUAGAUGA
RNAcentral lists this ribosomal RNA (529 nucleotides) under uncultured bacterium. Its description in RNAcentral is "bacterial SSU rRNA". It matches the Rfam family "Bacterial small subunit ribosomal RNA", at positions 981 to 1509 of the family's 1533-position model. The record is from RNAcentral.